Molecule: long non-coding RNA, 339 nt
Filed under: Volvox carteri
Lineage: Eukaryota; Viridiplantae; Chlorophyta; Chlorophyceae; Chlamydomonadales; Volvocaceae
Description: long non-coding RNA (VCAR_LNC003904)
Source: RNAcentral
GAACGAUGGUCCCUACCCCAGGGCACGAUUUCGAAAAACAAAGACGCGUCACGAAUAAACGCCUUGACGCGGGCAGCAGUCUGCUUCGCAUCAAGCUUGGCAUCUAGCUGCAAAACAGGAGUCGGUAAACUAACCCGAGGAAGGUCGGCAGAAGAAAUCGGCCGAACCGAAGGCAAAGGCUCUGGCUCGGCUGCGGCUGCCGCCGCAACCGCAGCCCCAGCAGCAGCAGCCGCUUCCACCGCUAACGCACGCGCAGCCGCAGCACGGUGGUCCGCAUCUGUCGUCGGGGUUUCUGGUAUCACCGUUGGAACAUCCGGACGAUUCAUGUGAGUAUUAGGC